CCUUAAUGGAGAGUUUGAUCCUGGCUCAGGACGAACGCUGGCGGCGUGCUUAACACAUGCAAGUCGAGCGGAAAGGCCCCUUCGGGGGUACUCGAGCGGCGA
Molecule: ribosomal RNA, 102 nt
Filed under: Actinomadura madurae
Lineage: Bacteria; Bacillati; Actinomycetota; Actinomycetes; Streptosporangiales; Thermomonosporaceae
Description: 16S rRNA. Bacterial SSU
Rfam family: Bacterial small subunit ribosomal RNA
Source: RNAcentral